AACAGGUGUAGACGUUACAGUGAAAUGCUGAAUACAACAGGUGUAGACGUUACAGUGAAAUGUUGAAUACAACAGGUGUAGACGUUACAGUGAAAUGCUGAAUACAACAGGUGUAGACGUUACAGUGAAAUGCUGAAUACAACAGGUGUAGACGUUACAGUGAAAUGUUGAAUACAACAGGUGUAGACGUUACAGUGAAAUGUUGAAUACAACAGGUGUAGACGUUACAGUGAAAUGUUGAAUACAACAGGUGUAGACGUUACAGUGAAAUGUUGAAUACAACAGGUGUAGACGUUACAGUGAAAUGUUGAAUACAACAGGUGUAGACGUUACAGUGAAAUGCUGAAUACAACAGGUGUAGACGUUACAGUGAAAUGUUGAAUACAACAGGUGUAGACGUUACAGUGAAAUGCCGAAUACAACAGGUGUAGACGUUACAGUGAAAUGUUGAAUACAACAGGUGUAGACGUUACAGUGAAAUGCUGAAUACAACAGGUGUAGACGUUACAGUGAAAUGUUGAAUACAACAGGUGUAGACGUUACAGUGAAAUGCUGAAUACAACAGGUGUAGACGUUACAGUGAAAUGUUGAAUACAACAGGUGUAGACGUUACAGUGAAAUGUUGAAUACAACAGGUGUAGACGUUACAGUGAAAUGUUGAA
Molecule: long non-coding RNA, 662 nt
Organism: Oncorhynchus keta (chum salmon)
Lineage: Eukaryota; Metazoa; Chordata; Actinopteri; Salmoniformes; Salmonidae
Exons: 3
Source: RefSeq, a predicted model, not a curated record